CUGCCUGAAAGUCUGUCAGAUUCAAGGAAGCCGGUAAAAGCCGGCGCUGCCCCGCAACUGUAAGCGGUACGAAAUCCACAGGAUGCCACUGGUUUCUCCGGAAACCGGGAAGGCGUGGAAAGUAGGUUAAGCCGCAAGCCAGGAGACUUAUCUGACGGAGAAUCUAAUC
RNAcentral lists this non-coding RNA (169 nucleotides) under Syntrophus aciditrophicus SB. Lineage: Bacteria; Pseudomonadati; Thermodesulfobacteriota; Syntrophia; Syntrophales; Syntrophaceae. The record is from RNAcentral. RNAcentral also lists the same sequence under 1 other name.